RNAcentral lists this ribosomal RNA (1410 nucleotides) under Pantoea dispersa. RNAcentral describes it as "bacterial SSU rRNA". It matches the Rfam family "Bacterial small subunit ribosomal RNA". The record is from RNAcentral. Lineage: Bacteria; Pseudomonadati; Pseudomonadota; Gammaproteobacteria; Enterobacterales; Erwiniaceae.
AGUCGAACGGCAGCACAGAAGAGCUUGCUCUUUGGGUGGCGAGUGGCGGACGGGUGAGUAAUGUCUGGGAAACUGCCCGAUGGAGGGGGAUAACUACUGGAAACGGUAGCUAAUACCGCAUAACGUCGCAAGACCAAAGUGGGGGACCUUCGGGCCUCACACCAUCGGAUGUGCCCAGAUGGGAUUAGCUAGUAGGUGGGGUAAUGGCUCACCUAGGCGACGAUCCCUAGCUGGUCUGAGAGGAUGACCAGCCACACUGGAACUGAGACACGGUCCAGACUCCUACGGGAGGCAGCAGUGGGGAAUAUUGCACAAUGGGCGCAAGCCUGAUGCAGCCAUGCCGCGUGUAUGAAGAAGGCCUUCGGGUUGUAAAGUACUUUCAGCGGGGAGGAAGGCGGUGAGGUUAAUAACCUCGCCGAUUGACGUUACCCGCAGAAGAAGCACCGGCUAACUCCGUGCCAGCAGCCGCGGUAAUACGGAGGGUGCAAGCGUUAAUCGGAAUUACUGGGCGUAAAGCGCACGCAGGCGGUCUGUUAAGUCAGAUGUGAAAUCCCCGGGCUUAACCUGGGAACUGCAUUUGAAACUGGCAGGCUUGAGUCUCGUAGAGGGGGGUAGAAUUCCAGGUGUAGCGGUGAAAUGCGUAGAGAUCUGGAGGAAUACCGGUGGCGAAGGCGGCCCCCUGGACGAAGACUGACGCUCACGUGCGAAAACGUGUGGAGCAAACAGGAUUAGAUACCCUGGUAUUCCACGCCGUAUACGAUGUCUACUUGGAGGUUGUGCCCUUUAGGCGUGGCUUCCGGAGAUAACACGUUAAGUCGACCACCUGGGGAGUACGGCCGCAAGGUGGGACUCAACUGAAUUAACGGAGGCCCCCCCAGCGGUGUAGCAUCCGCUUUAUUUCUAUGCAACGCGAGGACCAUACCUGGCCGUGGCGUCCAGAAAAGUAAUAGAGAUGCUUUGGUGCCUUCGGGAACUCUGAGACAGGUGCUGCAUGGCUGUCGUCAGCUCGUGUUGUGAAAUGUUGGGUUAAGUCCCGCAACGAGCGCAACCCUUAUCCUUUGUUGCCAGCGGUUCGGCCGGGAACUCAAAGGAGACUGCCGGUGAUAAACCGGAGGAAGGUGGGGAUGACGUCAAGUCAUCAUGGCCCUUACGGCCAGGGCUACACACGUGCUACAAUGGCGCAUACAAAGAGAAGCGACCUCGCGAGAGCAAGCGGACCUCAUAAAGUGCGUCGUAGUCCGGAUUGGAGUCUGCAACUCGACUCCAUGAAGUCGGAAUCGCUAGUAAUCGUAGAUCAGAAUGCUACGGUGAAUACGUUCCCGGGCCUUGUACACACCGCCCGUCACACCAUGGGAGUGGGUUGCAAAAGAAGUAGGUAGCUUAACCUUCGGGAGGGCGCUACCAUCUUUA